GAAAUAUAUUCUGCAUCAAUGCAGGUAACCUUUCUGUUUGGGUUGUACUUGUAUAAAAUGAAGGUGACCACCAGCAAAAUCUUUAUGGGUUCACUGAGCAUUGAAUAAAGCAGUGAGUUGAAUAUCUGGCUUAAUUGGGAUGUCUUUUCCAAUCCUAUUCGUCUUUCACACCUUUCUAUUUAAACUUUCGUUUAAGCACUCUGCACGAGGACAGUUAUGUGGUUUGAUUUUUUUUUAUUUUUUAUAAUCCAACUUGUAGGUCCCACGCUCAAAUCCCAUUAGGAUGGUUUUAGGGGUUUAUGGGAUUGGAGUGAGCUACUUCCAUUGUUUAGUUGAAUACCUAAUGGGCCUCCUAAUCGAACAAAGAGGAGAAAGAAAGUGGGAAAUAAUUUUCUUUCCUGUAGUUUUUCUCUUGUACUAGUGCAACUUGUCUAAUCCGCAUGCUUUGCAUUCGCUCUUUCCUGACCUCUAGU
Molecule: unclassified non-coding RNA, 473 nt
Filed under: Hevea brasiliensis (rubber tree)
Lineage: Eukaryota; Viridiplantae; Streptophyta; Magnoliopsida; Malpighiales; Euphorbiaceae
Source: RNAcentral